GGGCAGACUGUGCUGCUUAUCAAUUAUUUUCUCUCAGCUCCAAAGUCAUUCUGUUUGCCUGCUUGUAAUGAUGGAGCUGGGCCCUGUAAAUAUUUCUCCUGAGCCUUUUCAGUAGAGGACACUGGAGGGACACUGGAGGAUCCAGAGGGAGUAUCACCAGUAAGGCAUCUCUGUGACUCUUCCACCAUCAGGGAGCCAGUGCUCUGCCAUCUCCAUUAAGAUCUCUGGAUCUCAGCCCUCAAGAAGGGAUGGUUCUUCCUUGGGCCUUCAUCUCAGCCUUAGGGGUGGUGGUUGCCCCUUAUAUCUACCACUCCUGUGUUCUUCAGCAUUCUUGUUAACUCUUACUAGCCAAUUCCCUGUUACUCCAGUCCUCUCUUAAUGAUAGAUAAAACUUUCCUUGUUCAAAUCA
This is a long non-coding RNA of Lagenorhynchus albirostris (white-beaked dolphin), 409 nucleotides long. RefSeq lists it as uncharacterized. The transcript has 2 exons. Lineage: Eukaryota; Metazoa; Chordata; Mammalia; Artiodactyla; Delphinidae. The record is from RefSeq and is a predicted model, not a curated record.